Molecule: ribosomal RNA, 492 nt
Filed under: uncultured bacterium
Lineage: Bacteria
Description: bacterial SSU rRNA
Rfam family: Bacterial small subunit ribosomal RNA
Source: RNAcentral
GAUCAUGGCUCAGGAUGAACGCUGGCGGCGUGCUUAACACAUGCAAGUCGAACGGAGAUAGCGGAGAGCUUGCUUCUGCUAUCUUAGUGGCGGACGGGUGAGUAACGCGUGGGUAACCUACCCUGUACAGGGGGAUAGCAGCUGGAAACGGCUGAUAAAACCGCAUAAAACGGCAGUACCGCAUGGUACAACCGUCAAAUAUUCAUAGGUACAGGAUGGGCCCGCGUCUGAUUAGCCAGUUGGUGGGGUAACGGCCUACCAAAGCGACGAUCAGUAGCCGGCCUGAGAGGGUGAACGGCCACAUUGGGACUGAGACACGGCCCAAACUCCUACGGGAGGCAGCAGUGGGGAAUAUUGGACAAUGGGGGAAACCCUGAUCCAGCGACGCCCGCGUGAGUGAAGAAGUAUCUCGGUAUGUAAAGCUCUAUCAGCAGGGAAGAUGAUGACGGUACCUGACUAAGAAGCACCGGCUAAAUACGUGCCAGCCGCCGC